Molecule: long non-coding RNA, 300 nt
Organism: Ostrea edulis (European flat oyster)
Lineage: Eukaryota; Metazoa; Mollusca; Bivalvia; Ostreida; Ostreidae
Exons: 2
Source: RefSeq, a predicted model, not a curated record
GUUUGAGGUGAGUGGAGGGAUGCCGGUCUUUUUACGCCUCUUCUUCAUUCAAGGACGUAGUGCAGAGAUGUAGGAGAGGGAUGUAAUUUGCUACAGGGCUACAUCUGUAUCCGGUACAGUUUCCCUCCAUUCAACAGUAUUCAGGUUUUGCAUAUGUACGUCCAAGACAGGAGAUAUUUAUUGUGUGGCGAUGGGGUCCAGACCCGAGUUUAGUCUUGCACCUAAAACUUGUUUGUUGCCAUUUUAAUUCCAUUUACACUAGCAAUAUAUUCUUAUUUAUUGAUAAACUAUCAUAAAGUA